GCCACCCUAGCUCAUCUGGUAGAGCAACUGUUUUGUAAACAGUAGGUGCCCGGUUCAAGCCCGGGGGGUGGCU
This 73-nucleotide transfer RNA is filed under the name bacterium. RNAcentral's name for it is "tRNA-Thr". It matches the Rfam family "tRNA". From Rfam's summary of the family: Transfer RNA (tRNA) molecules are approximately 80 nucleotides in length. Their secondary structure includes four short double-helical elements and three loops (D, anti-codon, and T loops). The record is from RNAcentral.